This 520-nucleotide ribosomal RNA is filed under the name uncultured Glomus. Its description in RNAcentral is "SSU rRNA". It matches the Rfam family "Eukaryotic small subunit ribosomal RNA", at positions 569 to 1091 of the family's 1831-position model. Lineage: Eukaryota; Fungi; Glomeromycota; Glomeromycetes; Glomerales; Glomeraceae. The record is from RNAcentral.
AGCAGCCGCGGUAAUUCCAGCUCCAAUAGCGUAUAUUAAAGUUGUUGCAGUUAAAAAGCCCGUAAGUUGAAUUUCGGGAUCAAUACGCCGGUCGUGCUUCGGUACGUACUAACGAUAUUGAUUUCUCCCUUCUGACGAACCGUGAUGUCAUUAAUUUGGUGUCACGGGGAGUCAGGACUGUUACUUUGAAAAAAUUAGAGUGUUUAAAGCAAGCAAUCGCUCGAAUACAUUAGCAUGGAAUAAUGAAAUAGGACGUUCGAACCUAUUUUGUUGGUUUCUAGGAUCGACGUAAUGAUUAAUAGGGAUAGUUGGGGGCACUAGUAUUCAAUUGUCAGAGGUGAAAUUCUUGGAUUUAUUGAAGACUAACUACUGCGAAAGCAUUUGCCAAGGAUGUUUUCAUUAAUCAAGAACGAAGUUAGGGGAUCGAAGACGAAUCAGAUACCGUCGUAGUCUUAACCAUAAACUAUGCCGACUAGGGAUCGGAUGAUGUUAAUUUUUAAUGACUCAUUCGGCGCCUUAC